UCUGUCGUAUAGCGAGGUUUGCUAUCACUUUAAAUUCUUCUCGUCUUGAGUCAUUCCAUCCUGUAUGUAAUUCAAACAGGUUUUUGUAUAAUUAUUUCUCUUAAUAAUUACCAUUAUACAAUUGCUAUAGCUGCCAGUUUUGUUUCUCUUUUCUGCCAGAGAAUAGGAGAAAUGCAUUACGCAUUUGUGUAACUUACGAUCUUUGAUUCAUGCUUAAAAUGCAUGGAAUAUUUUUCAUUUUCUGUUUGAGGCAGUACCUCAUCUGGGAUCACAUCUCACAGUGUAAGCUUACACUGUAUAAAUGGACUCCUUGUAUUGCAACUAGGUAUAAACUACAGUAAAAAAGCAAAGGAGGUCAAGAGAAUUGAAUUUCUUAAGGCGAUGGGGGCCAGUGAAUAUUAAUGGCUGCAGGUAGAGGCACGCUGCAUCUGGACAGUAAUGCAGAAAGCCUUUUUGUAUGGUCAUUUUUUUUUUCCCCUUUAAAAUAAAUUUGAUUUGACCAUCAUUAUAGCCCUUUGUUGUUGUCUUUUGAUGAGGAUUCUAGGAAAUUGGCUUGCUGGCAUGCAUGGCUUACUGGCAGGGAGAGCAAGCUGGAAUUUGCAAGCACAAGUGUUCCUACUAGAGAUCUAAUUCAAGAAGUUAUAUUCUCCAGUUGAGAGAAGAAAAAAGUUUUUUAGGGUUGAGGUUUUUUUGUGUAUGCUUUUCUUGUUUUUUUCUCCAGGGUAGAUGGGAGCAGGCACAGCAGCCUGAGGGAGAGAUGCAUGUGCUCAUCCCCAGCACACCUGGCUCCUUGCUGAUGUCUGCCUUGGAGCUGCCACUGGAGAAGAUAGGAAAUGAGCACGCAUGGAGCCCAAGGUACGUCUUCCUCAGGAGACCAAAUGUUAUCGUUUCUGCUGGAGGAAGAAAUAAAUUUAAUUAAUUUCCUCUUGUAUGCUGCAUGUAGAAGCGUUGGGACUGUAAAAAGACUGAAAAUCCGCUGCCUUCAGAUCUAACUCAUCAUCUGUUCCUACACGUGUUUUAAAGUAAAACAAACAUAUUAAAGAACCCAUCUCGAUUGACCUAAAUUACGAGAUGAAAAACCUCUAAAAUAAUAGACAAUUUCUGGGACCUGUGCAUUGUUUAGGUGCAAAAUGUCGACAAGAUCUGGCGAAAGAGAAGUGAAAGCUGAUCCUUU
This 1174-nucleotide long non-coding RNA is filed under the name Numida meleagris (helmeted guineafowl). RNAcentral describes it as "lncRNA (ENSNMEG00000002845.1)". Lineage: Eukaryota; Metazoa; Chordata; Aves; Galliformes; Numididae. The record is from RNAcentral.